UCGGGAGCUGACGAGCGGCGGACGGGUGAGUAACGCGUAGGAAUCUGCCCAAUAGUGGGGGAUAGCCCGGGGAAACUCGGAUUAAUACCGCAUAAUCUCUGAGGAGGAAAGUGGGGGACCUUCGGGCCUUACGCUGAUGGAGCGGCCGAUGUUAGAUUAGGUAGUUGGUAGGGUAAAGGCCUACCAAGCCGACGAUCAGUAGCUGGUCUGAGAGGACGAUCAGCCACACUGGAACUGAGACACGGUCCAGACUCC
RNAcentral lists this ribosomal RNA (255 nucleotides) under uncultured bacterium. RNAcentral's name for it is "partial 16S ribosomal RNA". It matches the Rfam family "Bacterial small subunit ribosomal RNA", at positions 80 to 339 of the family's 1533-position model. The record is from RNAcentral.